UCCCUUUUCUUUUUGUCGUGUCGUCUUCUCUUUGUUUUUUCCGACGAUGGCAAUCAAUUGUUUGAAGGUCUUGAUUGUGAGGCUAAAGAGAAGAUCACUAGAGAGUUAGCUAAACUCGUGUUCGGAUCAUAAGAGAGCAUUGUCUCCAUCUGUUUGAGCAGUUUCUCAUUGAAAGAUUUGAGGAAUAAAAGGUCGAGAGAUGAGGAGAUCAAUUGGUUUCCGUUUGUGGAAGAUCUGAGCUUGACUAGUUCUAUGUUGGCUCUAGAACGUAGUGAAACCUCUUUCAGCAGUUGAAAAGAAAGGACAAGAUAAAUCAGGCUUGGUGUGUGUUUUACCUGAAUCAUAGAUUCCACGCGACGUCGCAUCCUGAUUUAAUGUUGAAGCAAGAUGUUGGCAAGUAUUCGAUAGGCAAAGAAAUUUAUGCAAGUCGAUUUUUUUUAAUGUAGCUUAUCAAUAUAAUUGACUGAUUUGUUCAACCUUUGUUUUGAAUGGGUUGAUGUCUCGCCUGGAGGGAUAAAGUGACUGAAGAUGGUGUCACCGUUGCUAGAGGCAUUGAGUUGAAGGAUAAAGUGACGAACGUUGGUGACCGAAACAUGACACAAGACGAGGCACAGACUUGGGUGAGAACGACAGAGGUGAGAAGUGUGUUGUGCUGAUGACAGAGGUGAGAAGUGUGUUGUGCUGAUGACAGAGGUGAGAAGACGAGUCACGGGUUGUGUAUCUUGUGGUGAAAAGUGGUGAGAAGAAGAGUGCUGAUGACAUAGAGAAUUCAGACCUUCAGGGAAAUUAGGUUUACUUGGUUUUCCUCCGUUUUUAUUUAUUAAAAUCGACGGUGUGAAUUUUGGUUCCCACAACACACAUCACUGAUGUCUUCCUAGCUUUCUCUUCCACUUCUUCUGUGAUUUGAGCAAAGCUGAGACGGGAAAGUCACGCCCACACAGCUAUGGAGAUAUUGGAGUUGAUCUUAUCCAAAGUUUCAUUUUUCCUUCAGGGAAUUUGAUUUAUUCUAUUUUCUUUUAAUUUUCUAGGUUAUAUUGGUAUUGUUUUAGUUGGUUUUAAGGUCUGUUUCAUGUUGAAAAAAAGAUAUGUUACUCUUAGCUGCUGCUAGAACUUAAAGAGCAGAGAAUCAAGAUGCUUUUGAUGCUGCUAUAUGGUUGGAAAACUUGCUUACUCUAAAGAGGCAAGAGUUUGUAUUAGAGAGAUUCACUACCUCCGAUUCAAUCCAGUUCACUUAUAUUGAUAGUAA
Brassica napus (rape) is the source of this 1246-nucleotide long non-coding RNA. RefSeq lists it as uncharacterized. The record is from RefSeq and is a predicted model, not a curated record. NCBI's taxonomy places the organism in Eukaryota, Viridiplantae, Streptophyta, Magnoliopsida, Brassicales, Brassicaceae. The transcript has 5 exons.